This 2688-nucleotide long non-coding RNA is filed under the name Daucus carota (carrot). RNAcentral's name for it is "long non-coding RNA (DCAR_LNC003726)". The record is from RNAcentral. Lineage: Eukaryota; Viridiplantae; Streptophyta; Magnoliopsida; Apiales; Apiaceae.
AGCUACCAUUUUCACAUAAUUCGUCAAAAGAGAGGAUAAUCAGGAGAACUAGAUUAAAUUGCAGUACCAUGCAGAAAGUUCAAGGCUCCUUUAAAUACAGUAAGUAUUAUAUAUGUCAGCAUCAAUUUCUUUCCUUUAAUUGCUUGGUCCCAUCAUUAAUAAUGCUAAUAUACUCUUAUAAGCUCUCUUGUGAUAUAUAAAAGAGUAUUGUGGAUAGCUUCUAACGUUGUGAAUGUAAAAUUUAAUAGGAGUUCAUGUCUAUGUUGGUUUAUCACUUGAAUCAUCGGAAAAAUUUGAAUUGAUUAUGAAUUAAGGUUUGUACUCUAAAAGGAAGGGUUUUGAAUUGUUGAGGUUGGAGAAAUCAGAGGGAAAAAAAAAAGUGGUUGGACUGAUGGGUUGUACGGCGGAAUUCGCCGAGAGAUGUGGAAGAAAAGGAACUGAGAGAGAGAGAUAUUACAGCGGGGAAAGGUGGCCGUCGGAGCCGAGCUCCGGCCGACGAGGAUGAUGGCAGUGUAGGUGGGAAGAUGAGGGAGGUGGGUAGAGGGUGAAAAAUAAUUUCAUGACCCGGGAAUUAAUUAAAUUAAUUAAAAAGGAGGUGAAUUGGUUAAUAAAACAGGGAAUAAAUAGAAAUUAGUAAAAUAAUGAAUUUGGUGGAGUACUUGUAAGUGGGAUUUAAAUAAAAUAAAGAGGUUUUGGAAAUUGCUUAAUAUAAGAGGAGUAAUUAAUUAGUUAAGAGAAGUGAUUAUUGAUUUACGAAUCAUUUAGAAAGGUGGGAUUUUGUAGAAAUUUGAAUGAGGUGAGUUAAAAAAUAUUCAUUCAUUCAUAAUUUAAUACAUUAUGGAGUAAGAAAGCUUAUAAUAUUUUAUUUAAUGCAGAGCGGGUAACAAAAGAAAAGAAUAGUUUGAUUAAAGCUUAUAAUAUUAUAAAAAGGAACUAUUCAUCAUAAAGUAGAUCAUUUAAGAUCAUUCUUUUAUAAGAGCAUCUCCAACCAUCUAAAACACUUGGCUAAAAGAUGAGUUGACAUACUUAAAAUAAAAAGAUUUAACCAACAGCUUCAAAAACUCAACUCCAACCAUGAUCAGCUGUUGUCUAUAAAUUUAGCCAACCUCCUAUGGAUGGCUAAAUUUGUCGAACCUCUACAGGUCUGUAAGAAAAUCUGUAGGAAGAUUGUACAUCAUUUAUUACCAUAUUGAACUGAUAUAUUCUAUUUUAACAAUUUAAAAUAUUAAUAACAUACUAUUUUUAAAUUAUAGUCAACCAAUAUAGCCAGUACCAUUGAAGCAAAAUGUCUUACAGGUUCAGCAAAUUUUACAUAAUGUCUUACAGGUUCAAUUUAGCCAACAAUUAUAGCCAAUGCCGUUGGAGAUGCUCUAAGGAUAUUGAUUACAAUGUUGUGUGAUAUAGAGUAUUUAUUAUCUGGAAAGGACGAAGUUUCACUGUGCGAGCUAAGCUAAGAAAUAUUUUAUAGCAAAGGAGACCAGGCAAGUUCACUAUCCCUGUCUUGAUGUAAAGUUUUUCGUGCCUAUUUGAUAAUUUUGUGAAAAGUAUUAAUUGUGAAGAUAUUAUAUUUUGUACCAUUGUGAAUCGAGAAAAUAUCUUUGUUUCAUUUUGAAGGCUUUCAAAAUAUUGUUCACAUACUACUUUCUAUAAUUCGAGCCCUCCCAUUAUUCGGGAAUGAGCUGAUCCUAUAACGAUAAUAUUUUGAAUUUUCGAAACUUGAUGUGAAUACAUUGCAGCGAUGGUCUCAAUUUACUUCUUUUGGAGAUCAUCUUAUCCUUUGGAAUCUAAUUCUUCUAAAUUAUUUUUAACUUCUACCUUCGGGUAAUCUUUGUUAUGAUGAAAGGGUGCAUUGUUCGCACUUCUUUGAUAGAGUUGAGGGUGAUAAUUGAGAAGUGUUUGUUUGAGAAAAUUUCCUUGUAUUCGGAGGAAUCUGUUCAAGCUGGUCAACACGAAUUUAUUAAAUUGGUGGGAGAGUUGAAAUGUACUAUCUGGUAAGGCAGAUAGUAGGGUUCCAGUGUUAAACCCUGAUGCUAGCAAAGAGAGUGUUGGUGUGUCUUCAGUGGUUACGAUCAGACCACUAGGACUACACAGGAGAACAGUAUUCACGAAAUGGUGCUGAUCGAGCCAUGUAGUGUUACCGAAAGGUGGAAGACCAGCAUUUUCAGUACUUGAAAUUGUGUUGUCAUUUGAUGGUAACUGUUUUGUUACUUUGACUUGAAUUGUCUUCUAUGCUUUAUUCGCAUAUCCUGUUAAUGAUUGUUUUGUGCUAUGUGGACUUGCUGAGCAAUUAGUUGCUCAUUUUUGCAUCUACUUUAUUUCUUUUGAGCAGUAAAGAGUUAGUAUGGCACAAAUCAAGAGAAUCGCCCGUAAACGGAUUUUGGCAAAGUAAAGGAGAAGGCACAUCACAUGAGCUGAAGCUGCUAGGCAACGUCGUUUGGUUAUACCAUCUACAGUUAUUAUAAUAGUCUGUAAUCAGAUUUGUUAUUAUGUAAUAAAGUUAGACCUGGUAGAAAUGUUGUAAGACGAUCGACCCUGGACUUGUGGGGCAAUAAUUGUGCUUGUAUAAUAUUAAUAUAAUGCAAGUGUUGUUUUGAGCCAGAUGUUUAGUGACGGACCAGAUCUGCGAGAUGCGGAUCUGGGGGCGUCACACAAUAUAUAAUACUUUCAAAAUUUCGACUAACGAUAGAG